AACGAACGCUGGCGGCAUGCCUAACACAUGCAAGUCGAACGAGACCUUCGGGUCUAGUGGCGCACGGGUGCGUAACGCGUGGGAAUCUACCCUUGGGUUCGGAAUAAUAGUUAGAAAUGACUGCUAAUACCGGAUGAUGACGUAAGUCCAAAGAUUUAUCGCCCAAGGAUGAGCCCGCGUAAGAUUAGCUUGUUGGUGGGGUAAUGGCCUACCAAGGCGACGAUCUUUAGCUGGUCUGAGAGGAUGAUCAGCCACACUGGGACUGAGACACGGCCCAGACUCCUACGGGAGGCAGCAGUGGGGAAUAUUGGACAAUGGGCGAAAGCCUGAUCAAGCAAUGCCGCGUGAGUGAUGAAGGCCUUAGGGUUGUAAAGCUCUUUUACCAGGGAUGAUGAUGACAGUACCUGGAGAAUAAGCUCCGGCUAACUCCGUGCCAGCCGCCGCGGUAA
RNAcentral lists this ribosomal RNA (449 nucleotides) under uncultured bacterium. RNAcentral's name for it is "partial 16S ribosomal RNA". It matches the Rfam family "Bacterial small subunit ribosomal RNA", at positions 29 to 523 of the family's 1533-position model. The record is from RNAcentral.